Molecule: ribosomal RNA, 445 nt
Filed under: uncultured bacterium
Lineage: Bacteria
Description: partial 16S ribosomal RNA
Rfam family: Bacterial small subunit ribosomal RNA
Source: RNAcentral
GUGAGGAAUAUUGCGCAAUGGAGGCAACUCUGACGCAGCCAUGCCGCGUGCAGGAAGAAGGCGCUACGCGUUGUAAACUGCUUUUAACCGGGAAGAAACCCCAGGACGUGUCCAGGGUUGACGGUACCGGAGGAAUAAGCACCGGCUAACUUCGUGCCAGCAGCCGCGGUAAUACGAAGGGUGCAAGCGUUAUCCGGAUUCAUUGGGUUUAAAGGGUGCGUAGGCGGAGCGUUAAGUCAGUGGUGAAAUCCUGCAGCUUAACUGUAGACUUGCCAUUGAUACUGGCGCUCUUGAGUGCGCUUGAAGUGGGCGGAAUGUGCCGUGUAGCGGUGAAAUGCUUAGAUAUGGCACAGAACACCAAUUGCGAAGGCAGCUCACUAAGGCGAUACUGACGCUGAGGCACGAAAGCGUGGGGAUCGAACAGGAUUAGAAACCCGUGUAGUCC